ACGGAAGGCAGCAGUGGGGAAUAUUGCACAAUGGGGGAAACCCUGAUGCAGCGACGCCGCGUGAAGGAAGAAGUAUCUCGGUAUGUAAACUUCUAUCAGCAGGGAAGAUAGUGACGGUACCUGACUAAGAAGCCCCGGCUAACUACGUGCCAGCAGCCGCGGUAAUACGUAGGGGGCAAGCGUUAUCCGGAUUUACUGGGUGUAAAGGGAGCGUAGACGGAAUGGCAAGUCUGAUGUGAAAGGCCGGGGCUCAACCCCGGGACUGCAUUGGAAACUGUCAAUCUAGAGUACCGGAGGGGUAAGUGGAAUUCCUAGUGUAGCGGUGAAAUGCGUAGAUAUUAGGAGGAACACCAGUGGCGAAGGCGGCUUACUGGACGGUAACUGACGUUGAGGCUCGAAAGCGUGGGGAGCAAACAGGAUUAGAUACCCUGGUA
RNAcentral lists this ribosomal RNA (434 nucleotides) under uncultured Blautia sp. RNAcentral describes it as "bacterial SSU rRNA". It matches the Rfam family "Bacterial small subunit ribosomal RNA", at positions 341 to 792 of the family's 1533-position model. Lineage: Bacteria; Bacillati; Bacillota; Clostridia; Lachnospirales; Lachnospiraceae. The record is from RNAcentral.